Molecule: transfer RNA, 72 nt
Filed under: Plenodomus lingam JN3
Lineage: Eukaryota; Fungi; Ascomycota; Dothideomycetes; Pleosporales; Leptosphaeriaceae
Description: tRNA-Glu (TTC) (tRNA-Glu-TTC-1-1, tRNA-Glu-TTC-1-2)
Source: RNAcentral
UCCGAAUUGGUCUAUCGGCUAGGAUUGCCCGCUUUCACCGGGCCGGGCCGGGUUCGACUCCCGGAUUCGGAA